UUUGAUUUUCCUGACUUGUGGAGAAGCUUUCCCUCAUCAAGCAACUGUGGGCAUGCAGAGUAAGACCUUUGUUAAAUGGAUAACUUUCAGGAGGACACAGAAUCAGCAGAAACAAUGGAAUUUUCAUUACUGUGGCAUAUUUUUAAGGUUAAAAAGGUGUUUAGCAAUAAAAUUCCACUGAACUACAGUUGUAUUUAACUGCUCUUCUCCAGGAAUACCAAAGGAAACAUAAAAAAUAGAAUGGGUUUCAUGGCUUGUGUAAAAUGUUUUACUUCUGGGUUUCAUUUCUUAAAAAAGCCUUCCACAUCUGCUAGGUGCUGACAAAUCAAAUCCUCCAUCUAACUAUAGCCACCAUGUGGAACCUGUGGCUAUGUUUAUGACCCCAGCAGCUUCUGCUCCAGGAUAAUUGUGAAGAUCAGCCAAAAAGAUGAGUAAAUGAUAUAAAGUUGACAAACUGUAAGACAAUUGAAAUACCAUAAAAAACACCAGGCUGGUCUGGCUAGAAGAAGAAAUCUUGUAUUCAGACUGAACAAAACCCUAGGAUCCCAGGACAAGCAGGUGCUCAGUGGGAGAUACAGGACCUUCUUGGGCAUCAAGAGAUUUAAUCUUUGAUCUGUUCAAAGUUUGACCCGUCUGGGCCUCUGUUUCCUCAUUUAUAAUAAUGAAGAAAACUGGAUGAUUUCUGAGGCCCCAUUCUACGUUUCUACAAUGGCUUGUGUUAUUUUAAAGGCACAGAGUGAAGAAAUUACGAGUCAUACAGCUGAAGUAUGCACAGAAAAGAUUUCAACCUCAAAUAAAAUCUGGAACUGAAGUUUCACUCCCCUCAUGGAACAAAUGUAUCAAGACUUGGUCAGAACUGAAGGCCAGAACACUUUCAAAAGUGAAGGGGUACAAGCUCAGGAAUGUUAGGUGUUAAGAUCCCUUACCAUACUUUACCAUAUAUGGUCUUGUUUAAAGUUCUUCCAAUCAAGACCUACCCACCAGCACUUCUGCAUACCAGCCUGCUCUCUCUAACCCAGAAAACUUGCCCCAGACUCCAGAAUGGGGAGAUGGAAUUGAGCUUUGUCUCCUGCCUCCUCGCCGCCAACCCCACAAUAAAACCUUUUUUUUUCUUAAAAA
This is a long non-coding RNA of Homo sapiens (human), 1119 nucleotides long. RefSeq lists it as uncharacterized. Lineage: Eukaryota; Metazoa; Chordata; Mammalia; Primates; Hominidae. The transcript has 6 exons. The record is from RefSeq and is a predicted model, not a curated record.